GACGAACGCUGGCGGCGUGCUUAACACAUGCAAGUCGAACGGAAAGGCCCUGCUUUUGUGGGGUGCUCGAGUGGCGAACGGGUGAGUAACACGUGAGUAACCUGCCCUUGACUUUGGGAUAACUUCAGGAAACUGGGGCUAAUACCGGAUAGGAGCUCCUGCUGCAUGGUGGGGGUUGGAAAGUUUCGGCGGUUGGGGAUGGACUCGCGGCUUAUCAGCUUGUUGGUGGGGUAGUGGCUUACCAAGGCUUUGACGGGUAGCCGGCCUGGGCGGGUGACCGGCCACAUUGGGACUGAGAUACGGCCCAGACUCCUACGGGAGGCAGCAGUGGGGAAUAUUGCACAAUGGGCGGAAGCCUGAUGCAGCAACGCCGCGUGCGGGAUGACGGCCUUCGGGUUGUAAACCGCUUUCGCCUGUGACGAAGCGUGAGUGACGGUAAUGGGUAAAGAAGCACCGGCUAACUACGUG
Molecule: ribosomal RNA, 468 nt
Filed under: uncultured bacterium
Lineage: Bacteria
Description: partial 16S ribosomal RNA
Rfam family: Bacterial small subunit ribosomal RNA
Source: RNAcentral